GCAAGAUCACGACCAAUGCGAUAACAAGCAGUGAAAUGUUAUUAUGCAGAAUUAAAUGAAAUGUUAUUCUGAAGCAGAAUAACAUUUCCAAUCUUGUCUUGUCGAUCCUUUGUAUUCCUUUGGCCUAGUACCCCAAGAUCACGCAUCCGAUUCCUGCUAUAAUGAUUCUGUUCAGUUCGGUUUAUCUCUUCUGCAAUCUCAUCACCAAGACUUUCCUUCUUUCUCAGAAUAAAACUCCAGCCCUGCCAAGGGGGAGGAGAAUGGCACCAAUUUUAAGUGGGGCUCAAGGUGACUCGAACCUUAACUUUUGGUUGGGGUGAUUCUUCGCAUUGCGCAUUACCUGUUUGAUGAUUUGCUCAAGAGAGAUUAUAUGUGGAUGGCUUUGUUUGGUGGCGUUACAACUUCUAAUGUCAGGGUAAUGAGUGAGAACUUAAAAGAUUAAGGAUGCUGAUGAUGAGUGAUGACACUAAUACUGCUGCUGCUUCUUAAUCUUAAUCUCGACGGCUGCUGUUAGUUGUUUGUUCUUCCACUUAUAAAAUUUCAUAGAUUCUAAGUCAAUCGCUCGAGUGAAAGGAACUUGAAAGGGCUGAGAUUUAACAAGAACAGUCCCAACCGUUGGGACAAUGAAAUGAAAGGAGUUUUUAUUGGGUGGGGAAGGAAUGGACCCAAUGUUUAAACUCACAUUUGUUGGACUUAGGAUCCUUUGCUUAUUUAACUGGAAGCUUUCUUUUCUAGUAACUAGCACUAUUUUUAUUAUUUCAGAAGCAAGGGAAGAAAUUUGUGCUUUGAUGCAAACUAUUGUUCAUAAAA
Molecule: long non-coding RNA, 810 nt
Organism: Morus notabilis
Lineage: Eukaryota; Viridiplantae; Streptophyta; Magnoliopsida; Rosales; Moraceae
Exons: 3
Source: RefSeq, a predicted model, not a curated record